This is a non-coding RNA of Camellia sinensis, 2119 nucleotides long. NCBI's taxonomy places the organism in Eukaryota, Viridiplantae, Streptophyta, Magnoliopsida, Ericales, Theaceae. The record is from RefSeq and is a predicted model, not a curated record.
CCAUCCCCCACACAAUCUCAUCUUCCAACUCUCUCUCUCUCUCUGUCUCUCUCUCUCUCUCCAACUUCUCUACGAUCAAUCAUCUCUAUAUAAACUUGACUCAAAUGACACUUUCCAAAUUCUAUUCCUCUUCUUUCCUUCUCAAAAACCCAUAUCCGAAUACACCCUUCUGAGGACAACCCAUUAAUCUUUAUCCACAGUUGAGUCAGAGAACACACAUCCACAAUGACCCACUUGGAUUUCUUCAAGAAAUUAAAGCGCUUGACCCCUCUUGACCCCACAACCAGCAUUCUUGCUUUCUUCUUCGUCUCUGUUUGCUUCAUCCUCUGUUUCAUUUACUUGGAUUACAGAGCUGUGACCACAGAGUUUCGUUCCCGUGUAGACCCACCCAGCUUGAUAGAGUGGUCUGGUAUCAAUGGGUCGUUGGAUGAGAAUCGAAGGCCAAGAUUUCUCGAAGAGGGUGGUGGUGAUGGGUGUGAUGUCUUUGAUGGUGAAUGGGUUUGGGAUGAUAGUUAUCCUUUAUAUAAAUCCGAAGAUUGCUUGUUCUUAGACAAUGGAUUUCGAUGCUCUGAGAAUGGAAGGCCUGAUAGUUUCUACACAAAAUGGCGUUGGCAACCCAAAAAUUGCGAUUUACCCAGAUUUGAUGCAAAGAACAUGCUGGAAAAGCUGCGAAACCACCGGCUUGUGUUUGUUGGUGACUCUAUUGGAAGAAACCAAUGGGAGUCCCUUCUCUGCAUGCUCUCCUCUGCAGUUCCUGAUAAAACUUCAAUAUUUGAAGUGAAUGGUAGCCCAAUCACAAAGCACACUGGUUUCUUGGCAUUCAAGUUCAGGGAUUUCAACUGCACUGUUGAGUACUACAGAGCUCCAUUUCUAGUGGCGCAGGGUCGGGCCCCGGCUAGAGCGCCCGAAAAGGUGAAGACUACUUUGAGACUGGAUCGAUUGGAUUGGAGCUCAUUGAAGUGGAAAGGUGCAGAUGUAUUGGUUUUCAACACCGGGCAUUGGUGGAAUUAUGAGAAAACUAUGAGAGGGGGUUGUUACUUUCAGGAAGGAGAGAAAGUGAAGAUGGAGAUGAGUGUAGAAAGCGCGCUUCGGAGAGCAAUUGAGACAAUGGUGGAUUGGAUAGGCAGUGAAGUAAAUCUGAGCAAGACCCAGGUCAUUUUUCGAAGCUACGCACCUGUACACUUCAGGAGCGGCAACUGGAAGACUGGCGGUAACUGUCACCGGGAGACAUUGCCUGACUUGGGUUCAUUACCUGUUUCACCACAAACGUGGGGUCACUUCAAGACUGUCAUUGAUGUGUUAACAGAACACUCAAACAAGUCACAAGUGAAGAAAAUUGAUUUUUUGAACGUGACAUAUAUGACUUCAAGGCGAAAAGAUGGCCACUUGUCUUUGUAUUAUUUAGGGCCCAAGAUCGGACUGGCCCCUCUCCACCGCCAAGACUGCAGCCACUGGUGCCUGCCAGGUGUCCCUGAUUCGUGGAACGAGCUUCUCUAUGUGAACUUCCUCAAGUGGGAGCACAAUCACAUAAGUUAUGCACAUCACUAAAACUAGCACCAUCGAUUUCUCUUCCAUUGCGUUAAAGAGGGGAUAAGGUAAAGUAAGGCAUAGCUAUCCAACGCCUAAAAAGAGAAGUGAACUUAUCAAAGAACAAGUCUUAUUUGGUACAUCAUAUUGCAGUUAUUCCCGUAAGGGAGAGUAAACUUGCGCUACUUGUGAAAUACCGGAAAUGCCCUUUUGGACAACGAUGCAGUCUGCUCUAAUACAAUAGUCAGGAUGGUGGAGAAAUUCGUGGCAGUAGAUUUUCAGUGGUUGUGGAUGCUGGCAAUAGAUUCUGUAUAGACUAUACAACUUUCAGUAGAUAGUGUUGGAUUUCUGAAGCAAAUUCCACAGUUGAAAGGAGAUAUACACAAAAAUUUAUCGCUGCGGAUUCAUGUUCAGUAGCUGAAAUGGAAAUUUGGAUCCAUUGAAAAAUUACUGAUAAAUAAUAGCAAAGGAAGCAAGCUUUUGGAACUUGGAGGCUGUAGAGUUAUGAAGUUCAUCACUAGCCCACAUGGGACAAAUAAGUAAGCUUGUGAAGAUGCAGACAGUGAAGCCCAUGCCGAUGGUUGAGAGACGU